AUACGGAGGAUGCGAGCGUUAUCCGGAUUUAUUGGGUUUAAAGGGUGCGUAGGCUGUGCGUUAAGUCAGGGGUGAAAUGCCGUCGCUCAACGACGGAGCUGCCCUUGAUACUGGCGUGCUGGAGUACGGAUGCCGUUGGAGGAAUGAGUGGUGUAGCGGUGAAAUGCUUAGAUAUCACUCAGAACACCGAUUGCGAAGGCAUCUGACGAAUCCGUCACUGACGCGGAGGCACGAAAGCGUGGGGAUAGAACAGGAUUAGAUACCCUGGUAUUCCACGCCGUAAACGAUGAUGACUAACCGUCGGCGAUAGACAGCCGGUGGCCAAGCGAAAGCGAUAAGUCAUCCACCUGGGGAGUACGUCGGCAACGAUGAAACUCAAAUGAAUUGGCGGGG
Molecule: ribosomal RNA, 393 nt
Filed under: uncultured bacterium
Lineage: Bacteria
Description: partial 16S ribosomal RNA
Rfam family: Bacterial small subunit ribosomal RNA
Source: RNAcentral